Molecule: non-coding RNA, 1120 nt
Organism: Leptonychotes weddellii (Weddell seal)
Lineage: Eukaryota; Metazoa; Chordata; Mammalia; Carnivora; Phocidae
Source: RefSeq, a predicted model, not a curated record
UGAACAUAAGGUUCCUCCUACAUCUCCGGCCGAGGAAUUUUAUUUUGUGGCUGGAGACCCCAAGCUGGAGUUUGGCCCCGAGUACCCGGGAGCAGGAAGGGCACACACACCGCGGGCUCAGCUCACCUGGCCUGGAAAAGUGAGACCGAAGCCACCCCACCAGCCACUUCCGCGUGAACCUAACACGCCCUAGCAAGAAGUCUAAUAAGUCUACCUAAUCUACCCAAUUUGUGCCCGCGUCCCCUCUCACUGCUCAGCCAGUGGCUAAAUCACUCGGCACUGAGUGCCAUCACACCUGAUUGACCUCGCACGACAACCGCUCAGCCCAUGACAGGCCGAGUCUUAACGGACCCGGAGCCGUCCUGACCCGGUGCGAUGACUUGAUUCUCCGAGGCUCCAAACUUGGACAUCACCCUCCCAGAGCAGCUGUUCGCUGGCCCAGGAGCUAGGUCCCCCCGCCACACUCUGUUGCCAGAAGAUGAGCCCUCCCUCUCCGCCUGUCUUCUGACUCAGCUGGACUCUCUCCGCCUCCUUAGUCUUCCAGGCGUUCCUCCACCCCCUUCACGAACACCUGGCAAAACAAGACAGGAGCGUGAUCCUAUGCAUAAGCGGAGGAACAUUUACUCCAACCUGGGGGAAGUCUUCUCAGCGCCUUACCUGGCAGAAGAACAAGGGCCGGUUGAUGAGUGAUUUUGCAAGCCUCUUUGGAGGCUCAUAGUGUGGGAUCCCCCGUGUGGCCCAGGAGCUCUGCCCAGAGCCUUCCUCAGCUAGCAGCGUCCUUCCCGGCCCUGGGGAGUCACUUCCCAAACCUCGUCCUUGUUCACAGUGAGUUACUAAGAGUCGAUUCAGUACUGUGAUAGGCCAAUAAACGUUUUCUCCACAGCUAAAACUCCUUUAUGACAAACACCAUUAUAAACAUUUAAAAAAAUUCUUCACAAUCGCAGAGUACCCAUGUAACCAGGUUGUCCUCCCUGAAGAGGAGCUCCUGGAGCUGGUGUGGUGAGGGAAGAUUCUGGGUCCCCUCACCUACGUCCUCCCCCACUGACUCCACCCUCCAAACCCCCUCCAACCCUCCUCCAACUUCCCAACCUUAACCACAAGCGCAGCCCCUCCGCUUACG